UUUCCUGGACUCCCGCAAAGUGAACGUGGCAGGGAGAAGCCACGAAAAUGGGGCAUUGCUGGAGAGCGACUAGCGAAUACAGAAGCCUUACUGUGAGAGAAAUGCUCGUCUCCCGGAACAAAAAAGAGGCAAAUAAUAAUGAAUGUGUUUGACCCUCACAUGAUAAGCUCGCUCCUGCAGAGAAAUUCUGUGGUGCAUUCUACAAUAGGAUCACCUGCGAACAAGCCCUGAAAAUGGAUGGCGCUUGGGCGAGAGACCUAUACACAACCGUUGCUGGCUUGUGCGUUGUGUUACGCUUUGCCGCAACGAGUAGGAGGGUGGUGGCGGUUGCUUCGAAGGCUCUGGGCUUAGGCCCAGCUAGAGAUUUCGUCAGUGCAGAUCUCGGUGGCAGUAGCAAAUAUUUAAGUUUGAUCCUUGAAGACUGAAGUGGAGAAGGGUUCCACGUGAACAGUAGUUGGAUUUGGGUCAGUCGAUCCUAAGUACAUAUAUUCUCUCAGCACGUCUAACACGAACAAAGAACACAAUAUCUCCAGAAGGUGAACAAAUUUGAAUUGAUGAUGAAUUUAAUUGAGAAGUCGCACUUUUUUCAUUGAAAAAAACCUCUCAAUUUAUUAAUUUACGAGGGAACAUUUGCGUGAAUGUUUUGCAUUUGUGCUUUUCUUUUCUCUUGUUUUUCAAGUCCAGCGAAUUAAUUUGACCAGUCUUCAGUUUAAUCACCUUCUUUCGUGCACGUGUUGAAUAAUCGUUCUGUUUUAAUGAGUAAGAAAUGUGUAGAGUUGUUAUCAGUGUUUUAUAUAUUCAGAUAUAAUGGUGUCCCUGUUGUACGGAUUCACCAAAAGAAGGGUAGACGAGCGGAGGCGUGGGAUGAAUGGCAGACCACGUCUAGGUCAACGUCAAUCAUGUCGACGUGCCUACUA
Necator americanus (New World hookworm) is the source of this 917-nucleotide non-coding RNA. NCBI's taxonomy places the organism in Eukaryota, Metazoa, Nematoda, Chromadorea, Rhabditida, Ancylostomatidae. The record is from Rfam.